AGCGAACGCUGGCGGCGUGCUUAACACAUGCAAGUCGAGCGAAGGUGUUUCAAGGGUAACCUUGAGAUACACUUAGCGGCGGACGGGUGAGUAAUACGUGGAUAACUUACCUCUAGGCCUGGGAUAACCCCGGGAAACUGGGGCUAAUACCUGAUAAGACCACAUUGUCUACGGACAAAGGGGUAAAGGUGGCUGUGCAAACAGCUAUCGCCAAAAGAUAGGUUCACGUCCCAUCAGGCAGUGGUGAGGUAAUGGCUCACCAAACCAAAGACGGGUAGCCGGCCUUGGCGGGGUGAACGGCCACACGGGGACUGAGACACGGCCCCGACUCCUACGGGAGGCAGCAGUGGGGAAUAUUGGGCAAUGGGCGCAAGCCUGACCCAGCGACGUCGCGUUGGGGAAGAAGGCCUUCGGGUUGUAAACCC
RNAcentral lists this ribosomal RNA (425 nucleotides) under uncultured bacterium. Its description in RNAcentral is "partial 16S ribosomal RNA". It matches the Rfam family "Bacterial small subunit ribosomal RNA", at positions 29 to 432 of the family's 1533-position model. The record is from RNAcentral.